RNAcentral lists this long non-coding RNA (375 nucleotides) under Sorghum bicolor (sorghum). RNAcentral describes it as "long non-coding RNA (SBIC_LNC003901)". The record is from RNAcentral. Lineage: Eukaryota; Viridiplantae; Streptophyta; Magnoliopsida; Poales; Poaceae.
ACGACGCCGCCGACGCGCCCUCCCUUGACGAUCAGGUCCUCCACGGCGACGGCGUUGAACAGCUUCACGUUGGGGCGCGCCAGGAGGCGGCUCAUGACGGUGGACGUGAAGAGCGCGGCGUGCUUGAUGACCACGUAGUCCUCGGCCUCGUCGUAGGCGACGCCCAGCUCGUCAAGGAACAGGUGCGCCGGCUUGCGCACCACCAUGGCCGAGAACAGCUGCCCGCCCAGCCACGCGCCGCCGCCCGGUGACACCGACUGCUCCACGAUGGCGAUGCUCACGGACGGGUCCUUGGAGAGCUCGUACGCGCAGGAGAGCCCCGCGGAGCCGGCGCCCACGAUGACCACGUCCGUGUCGGCGUAGGUGAUCAUGUCC